UCCGUCAGCACACGUUUUUCAAUCUUGACUCGAGGUGUGUGGUACACGCUUCGAGGAGUAAAUAACUGGCUGUAAUUUAGAUGGGAACUUGUUGUAAUCAACAAUUUACAAAAUGUUACUCUCGUGGACUUUACGCAAAAGAGGUUUCAGCAAUAACGUCACUUAGUUGAUGCAAGGGAAACCAUAUCAUGUGAGAUCUGAGCUUGAAUUGAAAAAAUGCGAACAUGGGACUAGAGUUUAAAUAGGCACUAUUGUUUGCUAGCUCGUUUUGAGAUAUUGACGUGCUGUGACAAAUGGAAAUAGUAUCCGUAUCACAUAUCGGGCGAACUGUGACCGACGCAAUGUUAACGUGUUAUAAUAAAUGCACGUACAAUUUAUGUGAAUAUAUCCAGCCAAAAAUAGAAGAAAAAGUGGUCUUAUAAUUUUUGUUUAAUUUUAUAUUUA
Long non-coding RNA from Teleopsis dalmanni, 444 nucleotides. RefSeq lists it as uncharacterized. The transcript has 5 exons. The record is from RefSeq and is a predicted model, not a curated record. Lineage: Eukaryota; Metazoa; Arthropoda; Insecta; Diptera; Diopsidae.